GUCAAGGUGGAUUCUGGUCCAGAGAGAGGCGGUCCCUUGAUGCUGAAAGAUGGGAUGUUGGUGGAGAGAGAUGGGAUUUAGACAAUUAUAGACAAGAAGGAGGUGGUGAAAAAAGGGGUCUGGGGGGUUGGCGUGGAUGUGGGAUUGAUGGGCAAGGCACAGAUGAUUCAGACUGGGAAUUAGAUAAAAAUACCCAAGACACUGGUGAUAAAGAGGCAGAUUCAGACACAAAACAGAAAACACUUAAGCCUGAGCAGGGUCUUGGUGAAGAUCAUAGCAGUCCAGUCUCUAGCAAUGAUAAAGUGGAAAAAUCUAAAAAACAUGUUGUUGCUAGCCAAUGCAUUGAUAAGGGCUGGACUCAUGGUCCAGGUGAAGGUCAGGUUUCAAGUGUAGAUAGACGGAACCGUGGAUUUUCCCAAAGAAUAGAGGCUCUUUUUAUAGCCCCACCCGGGCAUGGCUCAGAGGAGAGACUUGCCCGCAUGAGGGAGGUGGACACUGUCUCACGAAUGAGACGCCUUAGCCUCCGUAGCUCAGACUCUUGGGAUGGACUGCAUGGGGUGGGAAGGUGGGGAGAUUAUGGAUGGGAGAAAGAAUGCCCCCUUCCUGGCCCUCAGGAUUCUUCAAACAUCACAAAGGUAGAGGAUAAAGAGGGCAGCGCCCAUCCUGCAGUCACCAGUGAACCUAAAGAAACAAAAGACGACCAGGCAACCCUAAAAGAGUCACAGGAGCCCAGCCAGGUGGAGAGGUCGUAGCUGAACCCUAGAGGUCAGAGGUCAUCUAACUAAGGGCCAGCCUCCAGCACUGUGACCUGGCUGUCUGUUAAAUGCCUUCAUCCUCAUAUGCUAUUGAAACAUCCUCAGACAUUGACACACAUAUAUACACAACAUUAGACACAAACACACUAAGCGAUGCAUCUCUCUUUAAUACACAAGACACACACAAAUUGACACACAAACACACAAAGUCAUUGUCAUGUAUGCAGACGCUCACAUGCAUUCAGAACACAUUUAAACACCUAACCACACUGAGACAUCUGAAAUGGCCUUCUACUCCGACAAGAGCAUUGUGUAUCAACUCUACUCCACACCCACUCAGUUCCAGCUCUGCUGGCUUUCUAAGUGUUGCUGUUCCACUGCCAGAAGGAGGUUCCCAAUAAUGCCCCACCCACUUCAUAUAUUACAGUUCUCAUCAUGCCCCAUUUGUCUUAAUUUCGUGCCCUUGUCAUACAUCGUUCCCCUGCAAUUUCUGUAAAAGUUGGUUUAUUGGACUUUAUCUGGUGCGUUACUCAGCAAAACAUUGAAAAUAUUGUUGUGUGACCAAGAAACAAACAAACAAACAAAAAACUUUACUGUCUUUUGUAAAAAAAAAUUUUUUUUAAACUGACUGUUUAAAAAGUAUUACAGAACAAUCGAUGAAGUUUAAAACCAGCUACAAUCUCUUGUACUGUCCUAUCCCUUGCAAACAACCUAUCAUCCUAACAACUGUCUUUCCUCAAACCAUUUUCUUCCUCACAUCUUUGCAUGUUCCUUCCCUCAAUCAAUUUUUUCAAAGACCUCAGUCUUCUCACUAACCCUUCAUUACACUAACCUUGUGUACAUCUCAUGAAUUUCACAUUUGUCUAGACCGUGUUAUCUCUGCCCACCAAUGGUUUGCUAAUAACUGGCAAUAUAGCUAUUUGUGUAAGUCCUCAUCACGCUUACAAUAUCAUCCCAUCAGUAUUAACAAAGUCUUGUCCCUAUAUUCAAGGUCUUGUGCUACACUUCUUAAUUACAAUGAUCACAAAUGAUUUACAUUGUCUUUGCACCUUAACCACUCUUUAUUUCUUGAGUUAAUAAUGUCUCCCAACUCACUGAUAUCAUCCCCACACUA
This is a long non-coding RNA of Sinocyclocheilus grahami, 1869 nucleotides long. The record is from Ensembl. NCBI's taxonomy places the organism in Eukaryota, Metazoa, Chordata, Actinopteri, Cypriniformes, Cyprinidae.